Molecule: ribosomal RNA, 442 nt
Filed under: uncultured bacterium
Lineage: Bacteria
Description: bacterial SSU rRNA
Rfam family: Bacterial small subunit ribosomal RNA
Source: RNAcentral
GAUGAAACGCUGGCGGUAUGCCUAACACAUGCAAGUCGUACGAGAGUUUUUAACUCUAGUGGCGGACGGGUGAGUAACACGUGAGAAUUUGCCUUUAGGAGGGGGACAACAAUUGGAAACGAAUGCUAAUACCCCAUAUGCUUUCGAGUGAAAUGGAUUUUAUCCGCCUAGAGAGAAGCUCGCGGCCUAUCAGCUAGUUGGUGAGGUAACGGCUCACCAAGGCGACGACGGGUAGCCGGCCUGAGAGGGUGACCGGCCACACUGGGACUGAGACACGGCCCAGACUCCUACGGGAGGCAGCAGUGGGGAAUAUUGCACAAUGGGCGCAAGCCUGAUGCAGCAACGCCGCAUGAGGGAUGACGGCCUUCGGGUUGUAAACCUCUUUUAGUAGGGAAGAAGCGAAAGUGACGGUACCUGCAGAAAAGCACCGGCUAACUACGUG